Molecule: ribosomal RNA, 253 nt
Filed under: uncultured bacterium
Lineage: Bacteria
Description: partial 16S ribosomal RNA
Rfam family: Bacterial small subunit ribosomal RNA
Source: RNAcentral
UACGUAGGGUGCAAGCGUUGUCCGGAAUUAUUGGGCGUAAAGAGCUCGUAGGCGGUUUGUCACGUCGGAUGUGAAAACCCGAGGCUUAACCUCGGGCCUGCAUUCGAUACGGGCUGACUAGAGUUCGGUAGGGGAGACUGGAAUUCCUGGUGUAGCGGUGGAAUGCGCAGAUAUCAGGAGGAACACCGGUGGCGAAGGCGGGUCUCUGGGCAGUAACUGACGCUGAGGAGCGAAAGCAUGGGUAGCGAACGGG